UUAUUUUAUUGCUCGAGCAAUUAAAUAAUGAAUAUGAUAUUCUGUUCAAUCAUCUACUUGUUCAAGUUUAGACAUUUUCAAAAGGCAAUCUUGGAGCUCACUUCAACAUAUUGGUGAUGAUCUAGAAUCGCUUUUACUUCUGCUGAACGUAAAAUGGUUGGGACUUAGCAAAACGGAGUGGACUCCGUUCGAAUUCCGGGUAAGGGGCACAGGCGGGCAGCACGAGCAGGCCUCCUGGUAGGCAGCGGGCAGGGGGAGAGCUCGGGCAGGCAGGGUGGAAGCUCAGUUGGUCAGCCGACAGCUCAGGCGGGCAGGGCGGGAGCUCAGACGGGCAGGAUGGGAGCUCUAGCGGGUAGUUCAGACGGUCAAGGCGGGAGCUCCAGCGGGUAGCUCAGCUUGGGCAGGGUGGUGGUGGCUGGGCAGCCGGUCAGUUUUUUUUUAAUUAAAUUUUAGAUAUUUUCCUGCAACCUUUUUUCGACGGAAAAAGGCCGAAAAGAUGACAGAAAUUUACAAAACUGCCGAAAGAUGAUGAUUUUUCGCUGGAAAAUACCGCUGGUAAUAAUUGAUUUUCAUGUAGUGAUUUUUACCUAAAACUUUCUCCUAAGGUCAGGCUUAUGACUUUCCUACGAAAGUUGCCGGGUAGUAAGUCUUACAAUCAAGUUCUUAUAAAUAAGGUUGCCCAAAUUUUGAAUUUGAUUGUGUUUGUUGAGUUAAUACCAGUGCUUUGAGAGAUUUGCCACUAUUUUUUUUGGAUUUUAGUACUUUGCUAUACUAUUAUUUUUACUAUAGUGUUUUUCUUGUUACUGUUUAGUAGCUUCUUUUUAGCACCUGCAUAUACUAGUAAAUUUUUACCAAUAAUCUGCUUAUUUUCCUAUUUUACCAUUUAAUUUGAUAUAAAUUUAUAUUGAUGCUUAAUGAAAUUUCAUUUUAUUUGUUUACAUGAGCUCGUAUAUGAGAGAUCUUGGAAAGUUUGCACAGGGAUUUGAAGAUUUCUGAGUUGUUUGUACAGGUUUUGGGAGAGCUGAGUGAGUUGAGUUUGUUGUCGGGAGUUAUAGUUUGAGAGUUGGAGAGUUUGAGAGUUUUUUUGAGAGUUGGAAAGCAACACUGUAUAUGUCAUUUAGUGAAAACUUUUCUUCCGCCC
Molecule: long non-coding RNA, 1141 nt
Organism: Dendrobium catenatum
Lineage: Eukaryota; Viridiplantae; Streptophyta; Magnoliopsida; Asparagales; Orchidaceae
Exons: 2
Source: RefSeq, a predicted model, not a curated record